UUCUCAGUAGUAUAGUGGUCAGCACCUCCGCGUUUCACGCGGGAGACUGGGGUUCGAUUCCCCGCCGGGGAG
Non-coding RNA from Eumeta japonica, 72 nucleotides. The record is from the annotation of a GenBank genome assembly. NCBI's taxonomy places the organism in Eukaryota, Metazoa, Arthropoda, Insecta, Lepidoptera, Psychidae.